GACGAACGGUGGGCGUGCUAAUACAUGCAAGUCGAGCGCGGGAAGCAGACUGAAGCCUUCGGGCGGACGUCUGUGGAACGAGCGGCGGAUGGGUGAGUAACACGUGGGCAACCUGCCUGUAAGCUCGGGAUAACUAGCGGAAACGCUAGCUAAUACCGAAUAACGCUGCGCACCGCAUGGCGCGCAGAUGAAAGGCGGCGCAAGCUGCCACUUACAGAUGGGCCCGCGGCGCAUUAGCUAGUUGGUGGGGUAACGGCCUACCAAGGCGACGAUGCGUAGCCGACCUGAGAGGGUGAUCGGCCACACUGGGACUGAGACACGGCCCAGACUCCUACGGGAGGCAGCAGUAGGGAAUAUUCCGCAAUGGGCGAAAGCCUGACGGAGCGACGCCGCGUGAGCGAUGAAGGUCUUCGGAUCGUAAAGCUCUGUUGUUAGGGAAGAACAAGUACCGGAGUAACUGCCGGUACCUUGACGGUACCUAACCAGAAAGCCCCGGCUAACUACGUGCCAGCAGCCGCGGUAAUACGUAGGGGGCGAGCGUUGUCCGGAAUUAUUGGGCGUAAAGGGCGCGUAGGCGGUCUCUUAAGUCUGAUGUGAAAGCCCCCGGCUUAACCGGGGAGGGUCAUUGGAAACUGGGAGACUUGAGUGCAGGAGAGGGAAGCGGAAUUCCAUGUGUAGCGGUGAAAUGCGUAGAGAUAUGGAGGAACACCAGUGGCGAAGGCGGCUUCCUGGCCUGUAACUGACGCUGAGGCGCG
RNAcentral lists this ribosomal RNA (755 nucleotides) under uncultured Bacillota bacterium. Its description in RNAcentral is "bacterial SSU rRNA". It matches the Rfam family "Bacterial small subunit ribosomal RNA", at positions 28 to 755 of the family's 1533-position model. Lineage: Bacteria; Bacillati; Bacillota. The record is from RNAcentral.